RNAcentral lists this ribosomal RNA (459 nucleotides) under uncultured bacterium. RNAcentral describes it as "bacterial SSU rRNA". It matches the Rfam family "Bacterial small subunit ribosomal RNA", at positions 1 to 507 of the family's 1533-position model. The record is from RNAcentral.
AGUACAGACGAGUUUGAUCCUGGCUCAGAACGAACGCUGGCGGCAGGCCUAACACAUGCAAGUCGAACGCCCCGCAAGGGGAGUGGCAGACGGGUGAGUAACGCGUGGGAACCUACCUAGAGGUGCGGAAUAGCCCAGGGAAACUUGGAGUAAUACCGCAUAAGCCCGCAAGGGGAAAGAUUUAUCGCCUUUAGAUGGGCCCGCGUCUGAUUAGCUAGUUGGUGAGGUAAUGGCUCACCAAGGCGACGAUCAGUAGCUGGUUUGAGAGAAUGACCAGCCACACUGGGACUGAGACACGGCCCAGACUCCUACGGGAGGCAGCAGUGGGGAAUCUUGGACAAUGGGGGCAACCCUGAUCCAGCCAUGCCGCGUGAGUGACGAAGGCCUUAGGGUUGUAAAGCUCUUUUGGCGGGGACGAUAAUGACGGUACCCGCAGAAUAAGUCCCGGCUAACUUCGUG